UGCCCAGCAACACCUAUCCCUACCUCCUCGCGGUACUGGCCGGGGUACGAGUAACCUUAGGGAAGAUCGGGUAACCAACCCCCGGUGGGAACUUUGGUCGUAUGCUGACAGGGAAGG
Molecule: ribozyme, 117 nt
Filed under: Aedes aegypti (yellow fever mosquito)
Lineage: Eukaryota; Metazoa; Arthropoda; Insecta; Diptera; Culicidae
Description: drz-agam-1 ribozyme
Rfam family: drz-agam-1 ribozyme
Source: Rfam by way of RNAcentral